Molecule: long non-coding RNA, 1029 nt
Filed under: Ananas comosus (pineapple)
Lineage: Eukaryota; Viridiplantae; Streptophyta; Magnoliopsida; Poales; Bromeliaceae
Description: long non-coding RNA (ACOM_LNC021578)
Source: RNAcentral
GGAGGAGAUUGGGAUAUAUUUAGACUUCAAUAAAUAACCAGCAAUAAUAGUAAGUUGAUCGAUGAGUCAAGGUUUUUACAUAUGACAAUCAAAUAAAGAUCAUUUCUAAUUGUGCGUACGUAUUCUCAUGCGAGUGGAGCUAGAAUACUUUUACAAGUAUCAUUGGGGUGGUGCUUUAGUAUUUUUAGCUCUUGGAUGGAGAAAUGUGAGGUUGAGAUGAUGGUGGUAGGUGGUGGUAGGUGGUGGUAGGUGGAAUAGUGUUUGAUCCAAGGACUAUUAGUAAUCAAGAAGUAGAUCCAAUGGCUAAAAACCUAAUAGCACCAUGUGGGUGAUACUUGUAAAAGUAUCCUAGCUCAACUCCUCUCAUGCCAAGCUAGUUGAUCGUGAGUUUCAGACAUUAUCCUUAACCGAUGAGGGUGGCCACAAGUACAACAAUUGGGGCUAUGCCCUCGAAACCCACCGAAGUAUGCGCGGUAAAUUACUAUUACUAAUAAGUGGAGUUAAGUUCUUAUGACACUCCAAUAGUUCCACUUCGAAUGAUGUAGGAGAGUGUGAUGGUUUAUAAGUGACAGACAUAUUAGUAAUAGUAGUUUGGACUUAAGCAUUUUGUAUUGAUAGUUUGGAUCUAACGAAUUAUUAUUGCUAGUAAGUCGGGAUCGUUAUAUUUGGUAUCCGAGUCAAUUAUCAGCCAAUAAUAUAUGAUGAGUCGAUGAGCCUCAGUUGAGCCAGGGUUUGGAAAUAAAUGACGGGUUAAGCCAGGGUUUGGGAGUGACAGAAAUGACAGAUUAAGUCAGAAUUUGAAAUUAAAUGACAGGUUAUACUAGGGUUUGAAUGACAAGACUAGUAAAUAUAGUCCUAAUCGGAUAAAGUGGUCGGGACAGUUUAAUGAGUUUAUAAGUGAAGAACAAACUAAUAAUAAUAAUUGAAUUUAAGUAUUUUUGGGCAUGUAGUUUGGGUCCAAUAAAUUAUUUUUAUUAGGUUGGGUUGUUACAGUUCUUUAGUAUGAUUACCAUUGCUAAUGGUAUUAUU